AUCUCUUCUCGGCCUUUUGGCUAAGAUCAAGUGUAGUAUAAUCUUAUUUAUGAUCACUUGUAUAUUAUGAAGCACUUCUC
This 80-nucleotide small nuclear RNA is filed under the name Suricata suricatta (meerkat). Its description in RNAcentral is "U2 spliceosomal RNA (ENSSSUG00005006418.1)". It matches the Rfam family "U2 spliceosomal RNA", at positions 1 to 124 of the family's 192-position model. From Rfam's summary of the family: U2 is a small nuclear RNA (snRNA) component of the spliceosome (involved in pre-mRNA splicing). Complementary binding between U2 snRNA (in an area lying towards the 5' end but 3' to hairpin I) and the branchpoint sequence (BPS) of the intron results the bulging out of an unpaired adenosine, on the BPS, which initiates a nucleophilic attack at the intronic 5' splice site, thus starting the first of two transesterification reactions that mediate splicing. The record is from Rfam by way of RNAcentral. Lineage: Eukaryota; Metazoa; Chordata; Mammalia; Carnivora; Herpestidae.